GGGAGAGUGAUCGACAGCCUCCA
Molecule: non-coding RNA, 23 nt
Filed under: Arabidopsis thaliana (thale cress)
Lineage: Eukaryota; Viridiplantae; Streptophyta; Magnoliopsida; Brassicales; Brassicaceae
Source: RNAcentral